Topomyia yanbarensis is the source of this 633-nucleotide long non-coding RNA. RefSeq lists it as uncharacterized. The transcript is spliced from 3 exons. The record is from RefSeq and is a predicted model, not a curated record. Lineage: Eukaryota; Metazoa; Arthropoda; Insecta; Diptera; Culicidae.
AGACGUCUACAGUUUUAGGUGCAGAGUGCUGGUGGAUAUUCUUACUUGAUAGGAAGCUGUCGCCAAGGCUUCCUCUUAGUGUCCAGUCAUCCGAUCUGGGACCAUAGCUGUCCUUCGAUGUCGCUUGACGCUCUUUCGUUGGUGGCCGUAGUUUAGCAUGUUAUUGGGUCACCGAGCGGAGGAUUUGCUUAUCGGGUACAGGAGUCUGCGACGGCUACUCACUCUUAGUACUUUCACUGUGGAAAGCCAUAGCUGUUUUUAUCAUGAUUUAGAAACACGUGAUAUGGUCUAUUACGAUUUCGAGGAUGCAGAAUUAGAAGGAGUUAUAAAGUCUAAAUAAGUGUACAAAGAACCCGCUGAUUGAACUGUACUCUUGACCCAGCACAUUUCCCGGGUGUCGACGGACCAGCAAAUCUACUUUUCAGAAAAGGGCCUUUAUAUCUACUGUCGAACAACUUUCCUUUCCGCCGAACUUCCAGCAAGAACCCGCUCCAACCUCAUAGCACUGUGGACACGACGAGCUGCUGAAAUCCGCGAAAAUAAAUUGUGGCGGAGGUAUCAAAGGAAUCCCACCGGUUGGGCGCCACUGUAACUAGAUUUUCCGGUCCGAGCACCCUUACUGGAUGUGAUGGU